Molecule: long non-coding RNA, 1096 nt
Organism: Lotus japonicus
Lineage: Eukaryota; Viridiplantae; Streptophyta; Magnoliopsida; Fabales; Fabaceae
Exons: 2
Source: RefSeq, a predicted model, not a curated record
UCUCAUGCGGGCUCCACUUUACCAAUAAGAUAUUAUUUCUUUUCUUUCUCUCCCUUCAUUCACUCCCUCCGUCCCAACCGCUCACUCUCUCUCUCUCUCUCUCUCUCUCUCUCUCUCUUUACUCAUCCAAUUUAUUUUUCCUUUCCCCACAUCCACCCAUUCAGACUUUUUCUCUUCCUCACUUCACACUCUCCCUUCUCACUCACGAUUCUCUCCCUCUUUCUCCCACAAAAGAAAAAUAUCUCUCUUUCUUUUAUUAUUCUGAUUUCUUUCUCUCAAAAACAAAAGCUGCAGAACACUUUCUCUGAACCUUGUCUACAACUUCUCUUCUUCCUCCUCACCAUUUUCUUCUUCCCAACAUGUCUGGAACAACACCACCACCACGAGCCAAAACCGCGAGCACCACCACCUCCAUGCCUCUUACACGCAGCAACCACCACUGUCCCUGUUCUGUUUUUUUUGUUUCCUCUCCAUGAGAGCCACCACCAAAACCCUAGCCGCCACCUUGUUCCUCCGAUCUCCGGCGAACCAUUAAGUUUUUGGAGAAACAAACACCACCACUGAACUCCCCUCAUCAUCCGCAACAAAACACCUCCAUCGAUUCGAUGAUCGGCCACCGUGACUCCGGCGACCGCCGCCGCCGCCGCCUUCUCCGGCGAGUUUUGUUCUGAGAAAGGAUGCCAAUUUCUUGAAGCUCUCAACCUCCUCUUCCUGAAUCUAAGGCUUAAUCAUCAUUAAGAGUCUCAAUGGCUACUCGAGGAAGGGGAGAGCACGACCAGAGGAAGAAGUGAAGCUCAGUCCCAUGACCAUGAGACUUGAGGUAGAAGGAGAAAGAAUUGAACACUGUGUUUAGAAAUUUUAUGUUAAUAGGAAAAAAAAUAUAUAGUGGUAGUAUUUUGGGCUUAUCCUUGUAUUAAUUAUUUAUGAUGGAAAAUGGUAUUGUUGGUGUCUAUAUUGGUAUUGUUAUUCUAAAAAUAAAACAAUAUGUUAAAGUUGAAGUAAAUGUUUUGAGGGUUACACUUAGGUUAUUUUGGCUGAUGAGAUCAAUGGAGUUAUAUUGAAAAUAAAUAAUUAAAAAUUUCAAUCCUUUGUGUAA